RNAcentral lists this small RNA (257 nucleotides) under Mustela putorius furo (domestic ferret). Its description in RNAcentral is "7SK RNA (ENSMPUG00000021089.1)". It matches the Rfam family "7SK RNA", at positions 1 to 260 of the family's 331-position model. From Rfam's summary of the family: 7SK was discovered as an abundant small nuclear RNA in the mid-70s but a possible function has only recently been suggested. Two independent studies have found that 7SK RNA binds the CDK9/cyclin T complex (known as elongation factor P-TEFb). P-TEFb activates transcription by phosphorylating the C-terminal domain of RNA polymerase II. The record is from RNAcentral. Lineage: Eukaryota; Metazoa; Chordata; Mammalia; Carnivora; Mustelidae.
GGACGUGAGGGCGAUCUGGCUGCGAUAUCUGUCACCCCAUUGAUCGCCAGGGUUGAUUUGGCCGAUCUGGCUGGCUAUGCGGGUGUCCCCUUUCUCUCUCACCGCUCCACGUGCGUCCCUCCUGAAGCUGCGUGCUUGGUCAAAGAGGGUGACCUUCCCUGAUAGAGGAGAGGACCGUUCUUCCGUCAAGGGUAUACGAAUAGCUGUGCUCCUCUGCUAGAACCUCCAAACAAGCCAAAAAAAAAAAAAAAAAANNN